RNAcentral lists this ribosomal RNA (478 nucleotides) under uncultured bacterium. Its description in RNAcentral is "partial 16S ribosomal RNA". It matches the Rfam family "Bacterial small subunit ribosomal RNA", at positions 28 to 523 of the family's 1533-position model. The record is from RNAcentral.
GACGAACGCUGGCGGCGUGCUUAACACAUGCAAGUCGAACGGUAAGGCCCUUCGGGGUACACGAGUGGCGAACGGGUGAGUAACACGUGGGUGAUCUGCCCUGCACUUCGGGAUAAGCCUGGGAAACUGGGUCUAAUACCGGAUAGGACUCCUGCCUGCAUGGGUGGGGGUGGAAAGCUUUUGCGGUGUGGGAUGGGCCCGCGGCCUAUCAGCUUGUUGGUGGGGUGAUGGCCUACCAAGGCGACGACGGGUAGCCGGCCUGAGAGGGUGACCGGCCACACUGGGACUGGGAUACGGCCCAGACUCCUACGGGAGGCAGCAGUGGGGAAUAUUGCACAAUGGGCGCAAGCCUGAUGCAGCGACGCCGCGUGAGGGAUGACGGCCUUCGGGUUGUAAACCUCUUUCAGCACAGACGAGGCGCAAGUGACGGUAUGUGCAGAAGAAGGACCGGCCAACUACGUGCCAGCCGCCGCGGUAA